RNAcentral lists this ribosomal RNA (466 nucleotides) under uncultured bacterium. RNAcentral's name for it is "partial 16S ribosomal RNA". It matches the Rfam family "Bacterial small subunit ribosomal RNA", at positions 29 to 507 of the family's 1533-position model. The record is from RNAcentral.
ACGAACGCUGGCGGCGUGCUUAACACAUGCAAGUCGAACGGAAAGGCCUCUUUCGGGGGGUACUCGAGUGGCGAACGGGUGAGUAACACGUGAGUAACCUGCCCUUGACUUUGGGAUAACUUCAGGAAACUGGGGCUAAUACCGGAUAGGAGCUCCUGCUGCAUGGUGGGGGUUGGAAAGUUUCGGCGGUUGGGGAUGGACUCGCGGCUUAUCAGCUUGUUGGUGGGGUAGUGGCUUACCAAGGCUUUGACGGGUAGCCGGCCUGAGAGGGUGACCGGCCACAUUGGGACUGAGAUACGGCCCAGACUCCUACGGGAGGCAGCGGUGGGGAAUAUUGCACAAUGGGUGGAAGCCUGAUGCAGCAACGCCGUGUGCGGGAUGACGGCCUUCGGGUUGUAAACCGCUUUCGCUCAUGACGAAGCUUUGUGUGACGGUAGUGGGUAAAGAAGCACCGGCUAACUACGUG